Molecule: unclassified non-coding RNA, 241 nt
Filed under: uncultured fungus
Lineage: Eukaryota; Fungi
Description: sequence contains ITS2
Rfam family: 5.8S ribosomal RNA (bases 1-52)
Source: RNAcentral
AACGCAAAUUGCGCUCUUUGGUAUUCCGAAGAGCAUGCCUGUUUGAGUGUCAUAAUAACCCUCACCUUUCUGGUUUUAUGAACCAGGAAUUGGUGGUUUGGACGUCUGCCAGCUUCACGGUUGGCUCGUCUUAAAUGCAUUAGUGGAAAUCAAUAGCGUGAUAAGUCUUCGCUUUAGAACACCACUUUAAAAUUAUUAUUUCUCUGACCUCAAAUCAGGUAGGACUACCCGCUGAACUUAA